UUGUCUUAUAGUAAUUUUUCUCUCCCUUUCUAUCUUAUGCAGAGAGAGAGAGGACGCAUGCUCAUCUUGGGCAAAGCUGAUUACAGUUCAUUAGCUGUAUUAUUAUUAUUAUUUCAAUGAAUCCUAUGUUUGAAAAGGAAGUGUUUUUAACAAUAUAACUAUUAUAUUUAACAAUUCAAUUAAAAUCAUGAUCCACCAAAUUAUGAGAAUGGUAAAAAUUCUUGCAGAUCAUUUAAAAAUAAAUUGUCACACCCAUCCACCUUAACUAGGACAUGCAUAAUCUAAAUACAAACAGAUAGAGUUUCUCUUAAUAAUCGAUUGACUAGACCUAAACUUAUUAUAAAACUUAAAUUUCUAGAACAAUUUUCCCAAGAAACCAACAAUUAAAAUCAAAUAUUGAGCAUAUAAAAGUCAUCGAAACAAAUAAAAAGAACAUAGUACGUGAUCAGUAUAAUUUCAUUGACGCACAAUAGAGGGCAAAAAUUCAAAGGCCAAAAAUACCACCAAUUAGAAGACAUGAAAGGGAAAUUAGAAGAGAAGCCAAAAAUUAAAAAAUUAAAAAAAAACAUUUAGAAAAAAGAAAACAAGAUUUACUGAUUUUAGACUGCACUCGGAGGCUGCCCACGUACCUCCAUUGAUAAAAUAGAGGAUCAGGUCUUCGUAGCUCUUAAAUAUAGACUGACUAAUUGAUUCCCACUAAUGGUUGGCCACAUGAUACCAUUUAAAU
RNAcentral lists this unclassified non-coding RNA (727 nucleotides) under Hevea brasiliensis (rubber tree). Lineage: Eukaryota; Viridiplantae; Streptophyta; Magnoliopsida; Malpighiales; Euphorbiaceae. The record is from RNAcentral.